GGGUCAGUAGGUUGGUCGUGCCACCGGUACGUACUGGUCUCACUGAUUCCUCCUUCCUGAAGAACCGUAAUGCCAUUAAUUCGGUGUUGCGGGGAAACAGGACUGUUACUUUGAAAAAAUUAGAGUGUUUAAAGCAAGCUAACGCUUGAAUACGUUAGCAUGGAAUAAUGAAAUAGGACGAUCGAUCCUAUUUUGUUGGUUUCUAGGAUUGACGUA
RNAcentral lists this ribosomal RNA (216 nucleotides) under Glomeromycotina sp. Its description in RNAcentral is "partial small subunit ribosomal RNA". The stretch from base 87 to 216 matches the Rfam family "Eukaryotic small subunit ribosomal RNA", at positions 733 to 864 of the family's 1831-position model. Lineage: Eukaryota; Fungi; Glomeromycota. The record is from RNAcentral.